AUUGAACGCUGGCGGCAUGCCUUACACAUGCAAGUCGAACGGCAGCAUGAUCUAGCUUGCUAGAUUGAUGGCGAGUGGCGAACGGGUGAGUAAUACAUCGGAACGUGCCCUGUAGUGGGGGAUAACUAGUCGAAAGAUUAGCUAAUACCGCAUACGACCUGAGGGUGAGAGUGGGGGACCGCAAGGCCUCAUGCUAUAGGAGCGGCCGAUGUCUGAUUAGCUAGUUGGUGAGGUAAAGGCUCACCAAGGCGACGAUCAGUAGCUGGUCUGAGAGGACGAUCAGCCACACUGGGACUGAGACACGGCCCAGACUCCUACGGGAGGCAGCAGUGGGGAAUUUUGGACAAUGGGCGAAAGCCUGAUCCAGCAAUGCCGCGUGUGUGAAGAAGGCCUUCGGGUUGUAAAGCACUUUUGUCCGGAAAGAAAUGGCUCUGGUUAAUACCUGGGGUCGAUGACGGUACCGGAAGAAUAAGGACCGGCUAACUACGUG
Molecule: ribosomal RNA, 490 nt
Filed under: uncultured bacterium
Lineage: Bacteria
Description: partial 16S ribosomal RNA
Rfam family: Bacterial small subunit ribosomal RNA
Source: RNAcentral